AACGAACGCUGGCGGCAUGCCUAACACAUGCAAGUCGAACGAGAUCUUCGGGUCUAGUGGCGCACGGGUGCGUAACGCGUGGGAAUCUGCCCUUUGGUUCGGAAUAACAGUUGGAAACGACUGCUAAUACCGGAUGAUGACGAAAGUCCAAAGAUUUAUCGCCAGAGGAUGAGCCCGCGUAGGAUUAGCUAGUUGGUGUGGUAAAGGCGCACCAAGGCGACGAUCCUUAGUUGGUCUGAGAGGAUGAUCAGCCACACUGGGACUGAGAUACGGCCCAGACUCCUACGGGAGGCAGCAGUGGGGAAUAUUGGACAAUGGGCGAAAGCCUGAUCCAGCAAUGCCGCGUGAGUGAUGAAGGCCUUAGGGUUGUAAGGCUCUUUUACCCGGGAUGAUAAUGACAGUACCGGGAGAAUAAGCUCCGGCUAACUCCGUGCCAGCAGCCGCGGUAA
RNAcentral lists this ribosomal RNA (449 nucleotides) under uncultured bacterium. Its description in RNAcentral is "partial 16S ribosomal RNA". It matches the Rfam family "Bacterial small subunit ribosomal RNA", at positions 29 to 523 of the family's 1533-position model. The record is from RNAcentral.